AGGGUGUAAACGCUGCAGACUUGGUGUUGGAAGUCCUUUGGGGGCAUUCAGUGCCGGAGAGAAGUUGUUAAGUCUGCUACUUGGGGAGUACGUCCGCAAGGAUGAAACUUAAAGGAAUUGGCGGGGGGAGCACCGCAACGGGAGGAGCGUGCGGUUUAAUUGGAUUCAACACCGUAAAACUCACCAGGGAAGACUGUUACAUGAAAGCCGAGAUGAAGACUCUGCUAGAUUUUCAGAGAGGAGGUGCAUGGCGUCAGUGACU
RNAcentral lists this ribosomal RNA (262 nucleotides) under uncultured archaeon. RNAcentral describes it as "partial 16S ribosomal RNA". It matches the Rfam family "Archaeal small subunit ribosomal RNA", at positions 748 to 1008 of the family's 1478-position model. The record is from RNAcentral.